CGGGGCGUGGCGCAGCCUGGCUAGCGCACUUGCUUUGGGAGCAAGGGGUCGUGGGUUCGAAUCCCGCCGCCCCGACCA
This 78-nucleotide transfer RNA is filed under the name Bdellovibrionales bacterium GWB1_55_8. Its description in RNAcentral is "tRNA-Pro". It matches the Rfam family "tRNA". Rfam says of the family: Transfer RNA (tRNA) molecules are approximately 80 nucleotides in length. Their secondary structure includes four short double-helical elements and three loops (D, anti-codon, and T loops). Lineage: Bacteria; Pseudomonadati; Bdellovibrionota; Bdellovibrionia; Bdellovibrionales. The record is from RNAcentral.